Molecule: ribosomal RNA, 484 nt
Filed under: uncultured bacterium
Lineage: Bacteria
Description: partial 16S ribosomal RNA
Rfam family: Bacterial small subunit ribosomal RNA
Source: RNAcentral
AUUGAACGCUGGCGGCAGGCCUAACACAUGCAAGUCGAGCGGAUGAAGGGAGCUUGCUCCUGGAUUCAGCGGCGGACGGGUGAGUAAUGCCUAGGAAUCUGCCUGGUAGUGGGGGAUAACGUCCGGAAACGGGCGCUAAUACCGCAUACGUCCUGAGGGAGAAAGUGGGGGAUCUUCGGACCUCACGCUAUCAGAUGAGCCUAGGUCGGAUUAGCUAGUUGGUGGGGUAAAGGCCUACCAAGGCGACGAUCCGUAACUGGUCUGAGAGGGUGAUCAGUCACACUGGAACUGAGACACGGUCCAGACUCCUACGGGAGGCAGCAGUGGGGAAUAUUGGACAAUGGGCGAAAGCCUGAUCCAGCUAUGCCGCGUGUGUGAAGAAGGUCUUCGGAUUGUAAAGCACUUUAAGUUGGGAGGAAGGGCAGUAAGUUAAUACCUUGCUGUUUUGACGUUACCAACAGAAUAAGCACCGGCUAACUUCGUG